CAUACAUCAUUCGUAUCACAUUUCAUAUCACAUUCGUUGGGUAUAAGAAGAGAUGUGUUCAUAGCUACCCGGUAUCUGAGAUUCCUUGGAAGUAUUGUGUAUUACCCUGUUUACAGUUUCCUUUAGGGUAUUCUCCUUCUGUUUUACCUUUUCAUUUAUGAGUAUAUACAGUUUUCUAAUUCUACAUUGCAUAAUUACUUGUACAACAAUAC
This 212-nucleotide long non-coding RNA is filed under the name Pelobates cultripes (western spadefoot toad). The record is from RNAcentral. Lineage: Eukaryota; Metazoa; Chordata; Amphibia; Anura; Pelobatidae.